GAUGAACGCUGGCGGUAUGCUUAACACAUGCAAGUCGAACGGGAUGCUUAGGCAUCUAGUGGCGGACGGGUGAGUAACGCGUGAGAAUCUGGCUCCAGGUCGGGGACAACAGUUGGAAACGACUGCUAAUACCGGAUGUGCCGAGAGGUGAAAGAUUUAUCGCCUGGAGAUGAGCUCGCGUCUGAUUAGCUAGUUGGUGGUGUAAGGGACUACCAAGGCGUCGAUCAGUAGCUGGUCUGAGAGGAUGAUCAGCCACACUGGGACUGAGACACGGCCCAGACUCCUACGGGAGGCAGCAGUGGGGAAUUUUCCGCAAUGGGCGAAAGCCUGACGGAGCAAUACCGCGUGAGGGAGGAAGGCUCUUGGGUCGUAAACCUCUUUUCUCAAGGAAGAAGAAAGUGACGGUACUUGAGGAAUAAGCAUCGGCUAACUCCGUGCCAGCAGCCGCGGUAAUACGGAGGAUGCAAGCGUUAUCCGGAAUGAUUGGGCGUAAAGGGUCUGCAGGUGGAACUGAAAGUCUGCUGUUAAAGAGUUUGGCUUAACCAAAUAAAAGCGGUGGAAACUACAGAACUAGAGUGCGGUAGGGGCAAAAGGAAUUCCUGGUGUAGCGGUGAAAUGCGUAGAUAUCAGGAAGAACACCGGUGGCGAAAGCGUUUUGCUAGACCGUAACUGACACUGAGGGACGAAAGCUAGGGGAGCGAAUGGGAUUAGAUACCCCAGUAGUCCUAGCCGUAAACGAUGGAUACUAGGCGUGGCUUGUAUCGACCCGAGCCGUGCCGGAGCUAACGCGUUAAGUAUCCCGCCUGGGGAGUACGCACGCAAGUGUGAAACUCAAAGGAAUUGACGGGGGCCCGCACAAGCGGUGGAGUAUGUGGUUUAAUUCGAUGCAACGCGAAGAACCUUACCAAGACUUGACAUCCUGCGAAUCCCAGUGAAAGCUGGGAGUGCCUUAGGGAGCGCAGAGACAGGUGGUGCAUGGCUGUCGUCAGCUCGUGUCGUGAGAUGUUGGGUUAAGUCCCGCAACGAGCGCAACCCUCGUUUUUAGUUGCCAGCAUUAAGUUGGGCACUCUAGAGAGACUGCCGGUGACAAACCGGAGGAAGGUGAGGAUGACGUCAAGUCAGCAUGCCCCUUACGUCUUGGGCUACACACGUACUACAAUGCUACGGACAGAGGGCAGCGAGCCAGGGAUGGCAAGCGAAUCCAGAAACCGUAGCUCAGUUCAGAUCGAAGGCUGCAACUCGCCUUCGUGAAGGAGGAAUCGCUAGUAAUUGCAGGUCAGCAUACUGCAGUGAAUUCGUUCCCGGGCCUUGUACACACCGCCCGUCACACCAUGGAAGUUGGUCACGCCCGAAGUCAUUACCCCAACCGAAAGGAGGGGGAUGCCUAAGGUAGGACUGGUGACUGGGGUGAAGUCGUAACAAGGUAGCCGUACCGGAAGGUGUGGCUGGAUCACCUCCU
Molecule: ribosomal RNA, 1459 nt
Filed under: Raphidiopsis mediterranea FCC LP 2014
Lineage: Bacteria; Bacillati; Cyanobacteriota; Cyanophyceae; Nostocales; Aphanizomenonaceae
Description: bacterial SSU rRNA
Rfam family: Bacterial small subunit ribosomal RNA
Source: RNAcentral